This 492-nucleotide ribosomal RNA is filed under the name uncultured bacterium. RNAcentral's name for it is "partial 16S ribosomal RNA". It matches the Rfam family "Bacterial small subunit ribosomal RNA", at positions 29 to 507 of the family's 1533-position model. The record is from RNAcentral.
AGUGAACGCUGGCGGUAGGCCUAACACAUGCAAGUCGAACGGCAGCACAGUAAGAGCUUGCUCCUACGGGUGGCGAGUGGCGGACGGGUGAGGAAUACAUCGGAAUCUACUUUUUCGUGGGGGAUAACGUAGGGAAACUUACGCUAAUACCGCAUACGACCUACGGGUGAAAGCAGGGGAUCUUCGGACCUUGCGCGAUUGAAUGAGCCGAUGUCGGAUUAGCUAGUUGGCGGGGUAAAGGCCCACCAAGGCGACGAUCCGUAGCUGGUCUGAGAGGAUGAUCAGCCACACUGGAACUGAGACACGGUCCAGACUCCUACGGGAGGCAGCAGUGGGGAAUAUUGGACAAUGGGCGCAAGCCUGAUCCAGCCAUACCGCGUGGGUGAAGAGGGCCUUCGGGUUGUAAAGCCCUUUUGUUGGGAAAGAAAAGCAGCAGGUUAAUACCCCGCUGUUCUGACGGUACCCAAAGAAUAAGCACCGGCUAACUUCGUG